Molecule: ribosomal RNA, 371 nt
Filed under: uncultured organism
Description: bacterial SSU rRNA
Rfam family: Bacterial small subunit ribosomal RNA
Source: RNAcentral
CGUAGGGUCCAAGCGUUAUCCGGAAUCACUGGGCGUAAAGCGUGCGUAGGCGGGAGUUUAAGUGAGAUGUUAAAUCGUGUGGCUCAACCAUAUCGAUGCAUCUCAUACUGGGCACCUAGAGGAAGGCAGAGGCAAGUGGAAUUUGUAGUGUAGCAGUGAAAUGCGUAGAUAUUACAAGGAACACCAAUGGCGAAGGCAGCUUGCUGGGCCUUUUCUGACGCUGAGGUACGAAAGCGUGGGGAGCGAACAGGAUUAGAUACCCUGGUAGUCCACGCCGUAAACGAUGCAUACUAGUCUUAUGGGGUAUCGACCCCCUGUGAGACGAAGCUAACGCGAUAAGUAUGCCGCCUGGGAAGUACGGCCGCAAGGCU